RNAcentral lists this unclassified non-coding RNA (223 nucleotides) under soil metagenome. RNAcentral's name for it is "partial contains small subunit ribosomal RNA, internal transcribed spacer 1, and 5.8S ribosomal RNA". The record is from RNAcentral.
UUUCCGUAGGUGAACCUGCGGAAGGAUCACUAGUGAUUAAAUCGAGCGUGUCUUCAUUGACCGCUCACCCUUCUCACCAUCCAUAACACCUGUGCACUUGUUGGAUGGUAUAACAUAGCCCUAGUGGUGAAGUUGUCCAUCUAAUUUACACUAAACAAUCCUGUAACAAAUGUAGUCUUAUUAUAACAUAAUAAAACUUUCAACAACGGAUCUCUUGGCUCUC